RNAcentral lists this ribosomal RNA (301 nucleotides) under uncultured bacterium. Its description in RNAcentral is "partial 16S ribosomal RNA". It matches the Rfam family "Bacterial small subunit ribosomal RNA", at positions 509 to 807 of the family's 1533-position model. The record is from RNAcentral.
CAGCAGCCACGGUAAUACGUAGGGUGCGAGCGUUAAUCGGAAUUACUGGGCGUAAAGCGUGCGCAGGCGGUUGUGUAAGACAGGUGUGAAAUCCCCGGGCUUAACCUGGGAACUGCGCUUGUGACUGCACAGCUAGAGUGCGGCAGAGGGGGAUGGAAUUCCGCGUGUAGCAGUGAAAUGCGUAGAUAUGCGGAGGAACACCGAUGGCGAAGGCAAUCCCCUGGGCCUGCACUGACGCUCAUGCACGAAAGCGUGGGGAGCAAACAGGAUUAGAUACCCGCGUAGUCCCUGUCUCUUAUAC